Non-coding RNA from Pangasianodon gigas (Mekong giant catfish), 82 nucleotides. Lineage: Eukaryota; Metazoa; Chordata; Actinopteri; Siluriformes; Pangasiidae. The record is from the annotation of a GenBank genome assembly.
CGUACAACACACCAGCGUACAACACACCAGUGUACAACACUCCACUGUACAACACUCCACUGUACAACACUCCAGUGUACAA